GCCGGCACAGUGGUGAGUGCCUAUAGUCCCAGCUACUUGGGAGGCUGAGGUGGGAGGAUUGCUUGAGCCCAGGAGUUCUGGGCUGUAGUGCACUAGGCUGAUUGGGUGUCAGUACUAAGAUCGGCAUCGAUAUGGUGAGCUCCCAGGAGCGGGGGACCACCAGGUGGCCUAAGGAGGAAGGGUGAACUGACCCAGGUCAGAAACGGAGCACGUCAAAACUCCUGUGCUGAUCAGUAGUGGGAUCGCGCCUGUGAAUAGGCGCGAUCACUCCAGCCUGGGCAAUAUAGCGAGACCCUGUCUCU
This 302-nucleotide signal recognition particle RNA is filed under the name Saimiri boliviensis boliviensis (Bolivian squirrel monkey). RNAcentral describes it as "Metazoan signal recognition particle RNA (ENSSBOG00000008756.1)". It matches the Rfam family "Metazoan signal recognition particle RNA". Rfam says of the family: The signal recognition particle (SRP) is a universally conserved ribonucleoprotein. Lineage: Eukaryota; Metazoa; Chordata; Mammalia; Primates; Cebidae. The record is from RNAcentral.